This 231-nucleotide ribosomal RNA is filed under the name uncultured Staphylococcus sp. RNAcentral describes it as "partial 16S ribosomal RNA". It matches the Rfam family "Bacterial small subunit ribosomal RNA", at positions 109 to 334 of the family's 1533-position model. The record is from RNAcentral. Lineage: Bacteria; Bacillati; Bacillota; Bacilli; Caryophanales; Staphylococcaceae.
AGUAACACGUGGAUAACCUACCUAUAAGACUGGGAUAACUUCGGGAAACCGGAGCUAAUACCGGAUAAUAUUUUGAACCGCAUGGUUCAAAAGUGAAAGACAGUCUUGCUGUCACUUAUAGAUGGAUCCGCGCUGCAUUAGCUAGUUGGUAAGGUAACGGCUUACCAAGGCAACGAUGCAUAGCCGACCUGAGAGGGUGAUCGGCCACACUGGAACUGAGACACGGUCCAG